UACGAAGGGGGCUAGCGUUGCUCGGAAUUACUGGGCGUAAAGCGUGCGCAGGCGGUUAUGCAAGACAGAUGGGAAAUCCCCGGGCUCAACCUGGGAACUGCAUUUGUGACUGCAUGGCUAGAGUACGGUAGAGGGGGAUGGAAUUCCGCGUGUAGCAGUGAAAUGCGUAGAUAUGCGGAGGAACACCGAUGGCGAAGGCAAUCCCCUGGACCUGUACUGACGCUCAUGCACGAAAGCGUGGGGAGCAAACAGG
Molecule: ribosomal RNA, 253 nt
Filed under: uncultured bacterium
Lineage: Bacteria
Description: partial 16S ribosomal RNA
Rfam family: Bacterial small subunit ribosomal RNA
Source: RNAcentral